AAUACAAUAUCUAGUAUUAUUAGAAGCCCCCUCCUAAGGGGCAGGUUGCAGGUUCGAAUCCUGCCGGGGUUGCCA
Molecule: transfer RNA, 75 nt
Filed under: Nereida ignava DSM 16309
Lineage: Bacteria; Pseudomonadati; Pseudomonadota; Alphaproteobacteria; Rhodobacterales; Roseobacteraceae
Description: tRNA_Pseudo_CCT
Rfam family: tRNA
About the family: Transfer RNA (tRNA) molecules are approximately 80 nucleotides in length. Their secondary structure includes four short double-helical elements and three loops (D, anti-codon, and T loops).
Source: RNAcentral